RNAcentral lists this long non-coding RNA (3478 nucleotides) under Pan troglodytes (chimpanzee). Its description in RNAcentral is "lincRNA". Lineage: Eukaryota; Metazoa; Chordata; Mammalia; Primates; Hominidae. The record is from RNAcentral.
GGUGGCUUCCAAGGCGGCUCCGUAGUGGAUGCAGCGCCGGACGCCACAACCGAAAAACAGAAUCUUGGAACUGGUUUAGUACAAUCCAGGUCGAGUUCCUUGUUUUUUAUCCGAGUGGCCGGCAGGCCCAUGUGCUGUCUUGUUUUUAACACAUCAGCUCUUGCCGGAAGCUGCUCAGAGAUAAAAUAGGAAGUCCCACCCUUCCCUUAGAGAAGGAAAACGGAGAGCCGAAGGAGUCAAUCUAAAUUCGAUGAGCGCGUCGGGCUCUAAGGCAGGCGCUGUCAGCCCGGGAGGGGUGUCUGGGAUUUCUAGAGGGUCCCAGAACGGGUUCUUCCCGGGCCGAUCCCGCCUGCUUCCUGCCCCGUCUCUCCACCCGCCUCCUGCCCUCUGUAAGGAACCCCGAGGGCGGCGCCGGAAACACGGAGAAGGCCCAGAACGGCGCGGGACCCGAGAGGCCUACGUUGGCAAACGCAGCCCGCUGCCCCUUUGCUCGCUUCCCCGGGGCCUGGAGUGGCUCCUUUCGCUUCUGGCGCUCCGAUUUCGAGAAAUGACUUUCAGCUGUGCAAGACGAGAAUGCUACUUUAGAUGAUGAGAAAAAAUCUCUCGAAUGGCUCCCAAAAUGAGGUCCUUUUUUAAGAGGCCACAGGAAGCCGCCAGCCGAACUCUGAUACCAAAGAGGAGGCCAAGAAGCGGACUGUGGCUUGGUGACCUGUUUGGUAUUGCCAAACUUUCAGCUUUUAUUAAAGCUGAAACACCUUGGCUGUUUAAAACGUUCGUCAAGGACUUUUUUAUGAACGUUAACGGCACAGCAUACGGGCUUUUUGGGAAAAAAAAAGGCAGGACUUCAGGAUGUGGUGGUUAACAGCCCGUCCGCCCCCUCGUGCAGGUCCAUUCAUGAACCUCGAGUUAGAGGCCUUUCUUCUGAAACUCAGAAUCUAGUAGGGAAGACCUGUGUAGACGAAUAAAAAUAAAUACAUCACAGCUUGUUAAGUGCUGUGACAAAGAGGCAGUGAAAUCUUGCUUGAGGUCAUCUGCCUUGCCAAAGAGUUUUGACUAUGUUGUAGGCACAGGGUUAGGGUUAGACUCUGUAAAGGGAAGUUAUGUGAUCAGAUUUCUGUUUAGGAAGAUCAUUGGCCAGGCGGGGUGGCUCACGUCUGUAAUCCCAAUACUUUGGGAGGCCGAGUCUGUGGAUUGCUUGAGGCUAGGAUUUUCAGACCAGCCUGGCCAACAUGGUGAAACCCCGUCUCUACUAAAAAUUUGAAAUUAGCCAGGCAUGGUGGUGCGAGCCUGUAAUUCCAGCUACUUGGAGGCUGAGGCGGGAGAAUAGCUUGAACCCAGUGGCGGAGGCUGCAGUGAGCCGAGAUUGCGCCACUGCACUCCAGCCUGGGCGACAGAGCGAGAUUCCAUCUCAAAAAAAACAUUCCAACGAGUGGAUAAAGAAAAUGUGAUAUAUAUGCACUAUGGAAUACUAAGCCAUAAGAAGGAAUGAAAUAAUGGCAUUUGCAGCAACCUAGAUGGAGUUGGAGACCAUUAUUCUAAGUGAAGUAACUCAAGAAUGGAAAACCAAAUAUUGUAUGUUCUCACUCGUAAGUGGGAGCUAAGCUGUGAAGAUGCAAAGGCAUAAGAAUGAUAUAGUGGACUUUGAGGACUCAAGGGGUGAAGGAUGAGACUACACAUUGGGUACAGUGUGCACUGCUUGGGUGAUGAGUGCACCAAAAUCUCAGAACUCACCACUGAAGAACUUCCCCAUGUAACCAAAAACCACCUGUUCCACAAAAACUAUCGAAAUAACAUUUUUAAAACUUUACUAUUUCUGAAUAAAAUUUACAUACAUUUCUCAGAAAAAAAAAUAUUUGGAAUUGAGGUAUCUAAUAGAGAACUGAGUUAAAUUAUUGCCACUUAAAAACACAAAGUGAUAUAGCCACUUUAUGAAUUAAUCAGUCAGCAAUGGCUAGGUUAUGCUUAGUGGUUUAUAACCAAAUCUUAGUUUAUAACAACAAAUGUGUAUUGUUAAUUCCCACUACAAAUUUAUAACGACAUUGCUGGAUGCUACACUCCAUGUCUCUUUGUGGGACCCAGGCUCAUGGGACUUCUGUUAUCUGCAUUAGAGAGAGAGAAGACAACAAAAUAUGCACUGGUUCUUGAAGCUUUGGCCCAGAAGUAAAAUAUGUCUUUUACCUGUUCACAUUGCAUUGGGCCAGGGCAAUUAUCACGGCUGCAAGUAACUUCAAAAGGAUGGGGAAGUGCGAUCUUGGCAUGUGUCAGAAGAAAUGAAAACAUUUGGUGAAGAGCAUUAAUGACUGUCUUUACAGGAAAAAAACAAUCAAAUAGACAUGAUUUCUUCUUUCAGUUUCAUCAUUUCCUACUGUGUUACCUAAACUUUCUGAGCCUCAGUUUCUUAUUACGAAAAUAAAAUAAUGAUAAAGAUGAUAUUCACUUCAAGUACUUUGUGUUAACUAGGGUAAAAAAAAUUGAAAACUGUAGUAAGUUAUGCAAAUUAGAAAUGUAUAAUAUUACUGCUUUGAAAGUGAUGGUGAAAUGUAGAAUAAUUGGAAGGAUAACACAAAGCACUUAUACCAGGAGGCUUUUAGCUGCAGAUAAUAGAAAUCAAUAAAAAAGUGUAUCAGCUCACAAAUUUGUCAUCCAGACAUAAAGGAGGCUUCAGAAUUUAUUGACUCAGGAGUUGAAUGUUGGUAUCAAGGACCUAGAUUUUUCUCAUCACUCUGCACUUCAAUUCUCAAUGCCCGAUUGAACAUCAGGCUGUAGUAAGAUGGCUAGAGUGAUUCCAGGGAUAACAUCUAGAGAGAAAAAAGAGAACUCCUUUUCUUACGAUUUUUUUCUUAAGAGAAAAGGAACUUCCCAAAAGCCCCCAGCAAGCAUGCCUUCACAUCCCAUGGCCAGAAGUGGCUCACAUGUGUACCCUGAGCUAAGCACUGCAAACAGGAAUGGGAUCGCCUGUAGGCCUCAGAGACCACCUGGAUCUUGGGAAGGUGUCAGCUCUACCUGUGGCACUUGGCUGAGUGGGAAAGGGAUGGAAACAUGAAUAAAGUAAGAAUUAGGAAGGAAAAGGAGAAAUGGAUCCAGGGUAUGAAGCCAAUAGUUUAGUUAUCUCAACAAAUAUGAUUGAUUUCAUCUUUAUGAAUGUGAUGAUCUAAUUUAAUACAUUCAAUCAAUGAAGUAAAAAAAAGUGCAAGGACAAUAUGACAUCUGUCAUUCUCUGUUGAGAUUUGAGAGGUAAUAAUACCAAGAACGUGUGGUGACCUGGGUCCUCACUGCUACUGUCUUCCUGUACCUGGACACUUCUAGCAAGAGACUUCAACUUCAGAACAAAGAGGAUCCCAACUUGUAGCUGCAUUAUACACACCCCAGCAGCACAUUUAAGUUGAUUUCUAAUUAUUCCUCUUUAAGAAAUUGUUUGUGGAAUAUUUAUCUAUUUAUAAAUGGAAAAAUAGAAAAUUAAAAUAACAAAAAUAAGUAA